UUUAAUAUUUUCAACGAUUUACGAAAUCGAAAAUGAUUUUAGAAUUUUAAGUUGAAAAGAAUUUGAAUUACGAAAAUUGAUUGAAUUUAUAAAACGAUCUUAUUCGGUUUUGGAUUCGAAUCCUAAAACUAAAUUCCUAAUUCUAGCCCAAUUGACAAAGCCCAAACAAUAAAGCCCAAAACUUCUCUCAUCCCUUCUCUACCUCUAAUGCACGUGAAACAAAAAAAAAAAAAUUGAACAAAGCAAAACCCUCCCACAACUUCACGUGAAAAAGAAAGGAAACAAAUCUCCCAAACCCUGCUUCACCAUACACGUGAACUCCCAAGCUCUAUUCAGUCGUCGGCCGUCGUCACCGUAGACCCCUGCACCCCUUGCUUCACCACCGUCGACGUGCUCCUCUCCCCUUUGCCGCCAGCCGCCGCGUGCGCAGCCGCGACCCCCAGGCCAACCACCACCUGCAUCUUCGUCGCAGCCCUGCUCAGCCGACACCCUCUUCGAUCUCUCUCCUCCUUCGCGUAGAAACCAUCUCCUCCCCUGCUUGUUUCUUGCGCAAGCCAGCCGGCCGCCGCCACCGUCAACCAUAGCAUUGCCGUUGCCGUGCCGCCGCGCCACAGCACCACCUCCGGCCAACCACCCUCCCUUCCUUCUCUCUUUUGGCGGAGAAUUCUCUGUAGGCGACGUUUGAAUUAUUAAAGUGGUCUUGCAGUUUGUUUACACAAGUCUCUAAGGAUCAAUAAGCAUUGCCCAUCUACAGGUUUGAAGAUGAUGCAUCAUUGGGAUCGGGAUUAGAGAGCUUGUAGUUCUGUUUGUUUAAUCAAGUGAUUCAAUUUGUUAGCUUGGAAUUGAAACUUGUCGCACCAUUCGUAUUUCCUUAUUUCAGUUAAUUGUUUUGGACCUAAUAUGUAAUAAAUUAAUUAUGAA
Spinacia oleracea (spinach) is the source of this 921-nucleotide long non-coding RNA. RefSeq lists it as uncharacterized. NCBI's taxonomy places the organism in Eukaryota, Viridiplantae, Streptophyta, Magnoliopsida, Caryophyllales, Amaranthaceae. The transcript has 4 exons. The record is from RefSeq and is a predicted model, not a curated record.